Long non-coding RNA from Gossypium arboreum, 720 nucleotides. RefSeq lists it as uncharacterized. The transcript has 2 exons. Lineage: Eukaryota; Viridiplantae; Streptophyta; Magnoliopsida; Malvales; Malvaceae. The record is from RefSeq and is a predicted model, not a curated record.
AGGUUGUAGGCGAAGGACUCAGAAUCCGUGCCCACUCACACACUGCUUAUUAUUUUCUGCCUUCCAAUCCCAUAACCAUUUUAUCUAUCUUGGCUUUCUUUGUUUGUUACAAACAAUUCUGGUUCAUUCAGGUCAGGGGAGAGAGUAAUGGUAAUUUGAGUGAAGAAUUGGGGUUUGGUUGCAUGCUUUUCCACAGCUUUCUUGAACUUGGCUACUCUCUCUGGCUCUGCAUGCCUUCUCUUCUCUAUUCCUACUGGAAGCAUUAAUCCUCAGUCAGUGGAUAUGAAGCUCAAGAAAGCUGUGGGAAAUCAUGGACGCCCCAUUUUUAUUUUUAUUUUUUCUUUUGCUUCUUUGUUUCUCGGCUUUUGGGCUUCUACAAGGAGUAAAAGGAGGGAGUGAUGAGAUUUGAGAAAGGGUAGAAUUGUCAGUUUAUGUUUUUUUGUUUUCACAACACCACUCAUACAACGGAUUGGAAAUGAUGGGACUGUUGGUAUGUUUGAUUUGAUAUCUUCAUUUACUUUUCUUUUUUAUUUUUUUAACAAUUAAUUCAAAGCAAACAAGGCAAAUCAGAAGGCACAAAAGACUAGAAGCGUUAGUAGUGCGGUGGUUGUUUUUGACUUCAUUUUUUUUAGUUAUGUGAUUGGAAGUUUAACAUAUAUUUAUGAAAAUAGAAUGUACGUUUAUUUCCUAAAAAAAUACUAUGGCAAAAAAAUUAGUUAC